AGCAGCCGCGGUAAUUCCAGCUCCAAUAGCGUAUAUUAAAGUUGUUGCAGUUAAAAAGCUCGUAGUUGAAUUUCGGGAUCAAUUUAUCGGUCGUGCCAAUGGUAUGAACUAGUACAAUUGGUUUCUCCCUUCUGACGAAGCAUGAUGUCAUUAAUUUGGUGUCGUGGGGAAUCAGGACUGUUACUUUGAAAAAAUUAGAGUGUUUAAAGCAAGCAUUAGCUUGAAUACAUUAGCAUGGAAUAAUGAAAUAGGACGUUUGAUCCUAUUUCGUUGGUUUCUAGGAUCGACGUAAUGAUUAAUAGGGAUAGUUGGGGGCAUUAGUAUUCAAUUGUCAGAGGUGAAAUUCUUGGAUUUAUUGAAGACUAACUACUGCGAAAGCAUUUGCCAAGGAUGUUUUCAUUAAUCAAGAACGAAAGUUAGGGGAUCGAAGACGAUCAGAUACCGUCGUAGUCAUAACCAUAAACUAUGCCGACUAGGGAUCGGAUGAUGUUAAUUUUUUAAUGACUCA
RNAcentral lists this ribosomal RNA (508 nucleotides) under uncultured fungus. RNAcentral's name for it is "SSU rRNA". It matches the Rfam family "Eukaryotic small subunit ribosomal RNA", at positions 569 to 1078 of the family's 1831-position model. Lineage: Eukaryota; Fungi. The record is from RNAcentral.